This 224-nucleotide long non-coding RNA is filed under the name Elaeis guineensis (African oil palm). Its description in RNAcentral is "long non-coding RNA (EGUI_LNC050823)". The record is from RNAcentral. Lineage: Eukaryota; Viridiplantae; Streptophyta; Magnoliopsida; Arecales; Arecaceae.
CCACUUCAUUAUUGCUAUCUCCUAAAUUUUUUUCUUUUUUUAUUGAAAUCGAAUCAAAGAGCCCUACUUCUCUUUCGUUACAAAAUCACUUCUUUUUCAUGACAAAUAAUUUUUAUAGUGCAGUUCUUCUAAUUUCUAAUUAGAGAAUUAAAGAAUUGAAUAUCAAAAUUUUAGUCUCUUGAUCUUAAAAAUUUUAAUUCUUUCUUUUAGUAAUAAUAAAUUCA